AGGGCAGCUAGCCAGUGAUGGCAUGCGAAUCUCGAAAGCCAUCUCAGUUCGGAUUGGAGGCUGAAACCCGCCUCCAUGAAGUUGGAUUCGCUAGUAAUCGCGCAUCAGCCAUGGCGCGGUGAAUACGUUCCCGGGCCUUGUACACACCGCCCGUCAAGCCAUGGGAGCCGGGGGUGCCUGAAGUUCGUUACCGCAAGGAUCGACCUAGGGCAAAACUGGUGACUGGGGCUAAGUCGUAACAAGGUACC
RNAcentral lists this ribosomal RNA (248 nucleotides) under uncultured bacterium. Its description in RNAcentral is "partial 16S ribosomal RNA". It matches the Rfam family "Bacterial small subunit ribosomal RNA", at positions 1243 to 1500 of the family's 1533-position model. The record is from RNAcentral.